This 465-nucleotide ribosomal RNA is filed under the name uncultured Klebsiella sp. RNAcentral describes it as "bacterial SSU rRNA". It matches the Rfam family "Bacterial small subunit ribosomal RNA", at positions 338 to 795 of the family's 1533-position model. The record is from RNAcentral. Lineage: Bacteria; Pseudomonadati; Pseudomonadota; Gammaproteobacteria; Enterobacterales; Enterobacteriaceae.
CCUACGGGCGGCAGCAGUGGGGAAUAUUGCACAAUGGGCGCAAGCCUGAUGCAGCCAUGCCGCGUGUGUGAAGAAGGCCUUCGGGUUGUAAAGCACUUUCAGCGGGGAGGAAGGCGGUGAGGUUAAUAACCUCAUCGAUUGACGUUACCCGCAGAAGAAGCACCGGCUAGCUCCGUGCCAGCAGCCGCGGUAAUACGGAGGGUGCAAGCGUUAAUCGGAAUUACUGGGCGUAAAGCGCACGCAGGCGGUCUGUCAAGUCGGAUGUGAAAUCCCCGGGCUCAACCUGGGAACUGCAUUCGAAACUGGCAGGCUAGAGUCUUGUAGAGGGGGGUAGAAUUCCAGGUGUAGCGGUGAAAUGCGUAGAGAUCUGGAGGAAUACCGGUGGCGAAGGCGGCCCCCUGGACAAAGACUGACGCUCAGGUGCGAAAGCGUGGGGAGCAAACAGGAUUAGAUACCCGAGUAGUC